RNAcentral lists this long non-coding RNA (2007 nucleotides) under Homo sapiens (human). RNAcentral describes it as "HSALNT0292424". Lineage: Eukaryota; Metazoa; Chordata; Mammalia; Primates; Hominidae. The record is from RNAcentral.
GUACCGAGGCAGUGUACCAGGAAAAAAAGAGGAAUGGAUGCAGAGUAUCCUAGCAACUUCCAAAGGGACAAUGGGUGGGCGUUACGGCAUUGAUGACAUUAUGAGUCAUCUCACUGACUCUUGUGAGCCCAGAGAGAUCCAAUGCAGGGUGCCUCACUCCAUGCUCAAGUCACAGAUGUACCCGCCUUCAUCUGACUGAUACAGGCUAGAGCCAAUAUUCAAGGCCUGGUCAUUUUCCUCGCAAGGUGCCCAUUUCCUCUCAUGCCGUGCUUCCCUAACAGGAGGCUCCAGAGAGGCACCAACAGGACACCUGGGCUUCUUGCUGAUUAAUCUCGCAGUGUUAAACACUUCUGCGGAAUAAAACAAUGAUGUCAACAAACAAAAUGGAGAAUAUCUUGUAAGACCACUUUGUCCAACUGCACUGAAACAAGAGGGGUGAAGAGGCCCUGGAGCUGAAAUUUCAAACGUGAAGCUUGCUUAGCUUGCCUCGCCCAUGGCAUAAUAAUGUAGUGGCUUAAAUCUACCAACAGAUGAAGAAUCCGGCAACUCUGUCUUGUUUUCUGGUUUACUUUGAUAUGGCCCAGUGGUUCUCAGUGGGAGUGCUACUGCCCCCUAGGGGUGGCUAGAAAAUUUGUGGGGUGUGUUUCGGUUGUCACAAGAGGAGGGGGUGGCACUACUGGCAUUUAGGAGGCCCAAGCAUUGACAGUAGACAUCCUAUUAUGUCUGAGACCAAUGCGUACGACAAAGCAUUAUUCCACAUCCUGUUUAUGAUCAUUUGCACCUAGAAUCGACUUUGAAUUACAUGGAAAUUCAGUUAUCUUUGCAUUUGAUUUUAAUGCAUUUAAUUUUCCAGGAAUUCAACAACUGUGCACAGGAGAGAAGACUGUAUUUUUGGUUUGGAACACUGUCAAAAGGUGUUCACUAUUUUGGAAAAUGGCAGUGCCUGACAUCCCUGACAGAAGCGCUUCUCAUGGUGGUGUAGCCACAUGACACUUCUGUAUUAGCCUGGACUUACAGCUGUGGCUUUCAGUAGUGAUUCUACUUACAGUAAAAGGUAGGCUCUCUGUCUGUUGUGUGGACUAGCACAUCCCAAGCACCUACACAGGACCUGGAACAUAGAGGGCACCUGAUGAAUACACUGAGGCACAAAGAAGUUUAAAUAACCCACCCAAGGUCCCACCGCUGUUUUACAGCCUCCCAGAGAGCGGUCUUCCAAUCUCUGUUCAUGAAUUACAGAAUAAUGAAGUCUUAGAUGGGAAAUAACCUGAAAAACGUCCUCGUCUGUCCUCUUCACUUCUCCUACCCACGUAAUAACGAGUGGAUUAUUCUGGACAGUAGUUUUCAUACUACCUUCUCUGGAUCUCUUUCCUUCUAGAACUUUCUAUCUUUCAGAGUUAGUAGGUGGGGGGGCUUCACCUACUAGUAGGUUUUGAGGCUCCAACUCAGCUUCAACUAUAUCUCCUCUUUCAUCUGUUUAUAUAGCAGGAUACCAGGCAUGUUUCAUUUGAAUAAUUUUGGAAAAAGUUUGAAGGCUACUCUUCCAGAGGACCAGUGGCCUGCAUUGUAGCAGAGAGACGGGGUGAUCACUGUUAUUCAGACAUGCUUUCUUUACAACACACAACUGAGCAAACAAGACAGCAGGCAACUGCAUAUGCGACCACUUAUCCCUUUCCCGAUUUGCAUUUGUGGAAAACAAGUUUCAGAUUUAACAGCGAGUCUUUUACAACUCUGCUUGACUCCAUUAAUGACAGCUCAGUUUUUCAACGUUGCAAGAAAAAGAGCCAGAUAUCAUUCAGAGUGAUAAUGUGACAACCCAAAUGUGAGUCCUGGACUGAGAACAGAACGGAAGAUGAAAGGAAUUAAUGCUGUCUUUGGCUAGAACCUGAAGACAGCAGGUGGAAAGGCUGAUGUACAAACAGUCUUAGAAGUUAGAGACGUACUUUGGGAGGCCGAGGCAGGCAGAUCACGAGGUCAGGAGAUCGAGAUCAUCCUGGCUAACACGGUGAA